AGCAAACCCGGGAAAGACAUGCUGACAAGAUCACCAGGACCUGGACCAGGACCUGGACCUGGUGGCCGCCGUGUCCCACAGGCCACGCGAGAGGCUGGAGCUGACGGCGGGCAUCCACACCCGUGGGGCGGAGGGCGAGUGCCUGGGGCGCAAGGAAGCCUUCCUUGGCACUGCAGCUGAGGUGGUCUUUUUCAUGAACCGUGUUUGGCGUGGAGCAUCAGCUCAACCACAAGCCACACCUGCACGAAAGACGGUGCCUGUGAGAUUGCAUUUCAAGGGGAAAUCAAGGUCAAGGAAUCCUGACCUCAGGCACAAAUGUGUCCGUGUGAGUUCGCUUGCUCAUCCCCUUGUGCCAAGUGAGAGUUACAAGCAGCCUACAUACGACUCUAUCCCAGCGCGUCUCUGACUUUCAUGCCCACCUCCUUCCUGGACCGGAUGUGGUCUGCCUGGAAUGAGCUCCUGGAGUUCCCUGUGUCUCUGUGGCAACAUCUCCUGUUUAAUCUUAGGGUAAUGUGUCUCCCCU
This 523-nucleotide long non-coding RNA is filed under the name Equus caballus (horse). Its description in RNAcentral is "lncRNA (ENSECAG00000056080.1)". Lineage: Eukaryota; Metazoa; Chordata; Mammalia; Perissodactyla; Equidae. The record is from RNAcentral.